The submitters of this non-coding RNA (52 nucleotides) gave its source as unclassified sequences. The record is from Rfam.
AGCUUAAUGCAGCCGUGGACGGUUCCAAGCCCGUGUAAAUGCAGAGGAGGCU